Molecule: ribosomal RNA, 489 nt
Filed under: uncultured bacterium
Lineage: Bacteria
Description: partial 16S ribosomal RNA
Rfam family: Bacterial small subunit ribosomal RNA
Source: RNAcentral
GAACGCUGGCGGUCGGCCUAACACAUGCAAGUCGAACGGCAGCACAGUAAGAGCUUGCUCUUACGGGUGGCGAGUGGCGGACGGGUGAGGAAUACAUCGGAAUCUACUUUUUCGUAGGGGAUAACGUAGGGAAACUUACGCUAAUACCGCAUACGACCUACGGGUGAAAGCAGGGGAUCUUCGGACCUUGCGCGAUUGAAUGAGCCGAUGUCGGAUUAGCUAGUUGGCGGGGUAAAGGCCCACCAAGGCGACGAUCCGUAGCUGGUCUGAGAGGAUGAUCAGCCACACUGGAACUGAGACACGGUCCAGACUCCUACGGGAGGCAGCAGUGGGGAAUAUUGGACAAUGGGCGCAAGCCUGAUCCAGCCAUACCGCGUGGGUGAAGAAGGCCUUCGGGUUGUAAAGCCCUUUUGUUGGGAAAGAAAAGCAGCAGGUUAAUACCCCGCUGUUCUGACGGUACCCAAAGAAUAAGCACCGGCUAACUUCGUG